Molecule: ribosomal RNA, 585 nt
Filed under: Micrococcaceae bacterium
Lineage: Bacteria; Bacillati; Actinomycetota; Actinomycetes; Micrococcales; Micrococcaceae
Description: bacterial SSU rRNA
Rfam family: Bacterial small subunit ribosomal RNA
Source: RNAcentral
GGUGUGGGGGACAUUCCACGUUUUCCGCGCCGUAGCUAACGCAUUAAGUGCCCCGCCUGGGGAGUACGGCCGCAAGGCUAAAACUCAAAGGAAUUGACGGGGGCCCGCACAAGCGGCGGAGCAUGCGGAUUAAUUCGAUGCAACGCGAAGAACCUUACCAAGGCUUGACAUGAACCGGAAAGACCUGGAAACAGGUGCCCCGCUUGCGGUCGGUUUACAGGUGGUGCAUGGUUGUCGUCAGCUCGUGUCGUGAGAUGUUGGGUUAAGUCCCGCAACGAGCGCAACCCUCGUUCUAUGUUGCCAGCGGUUCGGCCGGGGACUCAUAGGAGACUGCCGGGGUCAACUCGGAGGAAGGUGGGGACGACGUCAAAUCAUCAUGCCCCUUAUGUCUUGGGCUUCACGCAUGCUACAAUGGCCGGUACAAAGGGUUGCGAUACUGUGAGGUGGAGCUAAUCCCAAAAAGCCGGUCUCAGUUCGGAUUGGGGUCUGCAACUCGACCCCAUGAAGUCGGAGUCGCUAGUAAUCGCAGAUCAGCAACGCUGCGGUGAAUACGUUCCCGGGCCUUGCACCACCGGCCCGUCAAAA